This 50-nucleotide small nucleolar RNA is filed under the name Mus spicilegus (steppe mouse). RNAcentral describes it as "Small nucleolar RNA U82P (ENSMSIG00000009518.1)". The record is from RNAcentral. Lineage: Eukaryota; Metazoa; Chordata; Mammalia; Rodentia; Muridae.
CGGUAACAGAAGGCAUGGCUUCCCGCCCCAACUCUGCUCUGCUCCUAUAG